CCCCAAUUGUCGUCUAAUUGUUAACACUAUUGGUGGCCUAUAUUUAGUUCUUAUGGUUCUCCAUACGCAUGUUCUAAUAUUUGCAUCCGGCUUUGUAUAUCGGAGAAUCAACAUUUUGUCUAUUACGUUUCUUGACUAGGAAAGAUGGGUGGAGGUGUCUUAGUUGGAAUCAGUAUUGUAGCAGGAGUUUUACUGUUGGUUGGAUUAGUCACACCAGGAUGGCUUGGACUUGACUUCAAGUCAGGCGAGAAUGAUGUUUCGAUCAACAUGAAUAUAUUUUACAGCAGAGUAUGUGUACAGGAAUCUGCUAUUGACGCUUGUAUGACUAUGUCAAAUGCUGCUGCUAUGGAGCGUGCGUCGAGCUCAGUUGACAGUUUCAGAUUUACAGAGUAUUUAGUUGAAGCUGUCGGAGCCUUAAUUGGCUGUGGUUGUGGAACUAUAUUAGCCAUAAUUUAUGGUUUAAGUGUUGUGAGAGAACAAGACAGCGUCAGACCUCGAUCUAGCAAUUUAGCCGUUACCGGACUAGUGCUCUCUAUAAUAGGAGGUAUUUGUGGCGGCAUUUUGGUUAUCGAAUUCAUCAUUGUACACACUAACUUGGAUAGUGUGACUGACACCUUCGGAGAACAACUAGAAUCUAGUAACGUUGGAUUUGAGAAGUCCUUCCCAUACUCACUGGUGAUAAUGUCCUUUGGUCUGUUCUUUGAGCUCAUUGCCGUCAUCGUUCACAUUGCUUGCAUGAGAACUCCGUACAGUGGAGCUCCAAAUGGUAUCAUCCUAACUCCUUCAGUAAACGGACCUACAGCUGUCGUUGUCCAGCACUCGACCGUCUCAUCAACUCCUUACGCUAGGUUCGCUUAGAAUGAACACUGUGAACUGCAUGUUGUUUGACAUUAACAAAAUUUGAUUGCUUACUUAUAAACUGUAUUAUACCAAUUUCAUUUGACACAAAAAAAAAUAUGAAUCAUGAAUAGUGAAGUUACAUUAUGUCUUUUAGUUCAAGUACAAGUUUGGUGUUUUGAUUUUUCCUCCUGAAACACGUCAAAUAUCAAAAGGACCGUUAGAAUUAUAUUGGUACACCUGAAAACAAUUUCAACUUAAUAAGUCAAUUCUAGUUAUGAGCCUUAUUUCCUGAGAGUCUAUAAAUCAUGAUCACAUGACGGUACCCUCACAAUGGCGGAUUUACCGAUGACGCACAGUGUGAAUGUUAUCAUAUUCACAUAUCUGAACUACUUAAAAUUUCCAUGGUGCCCCAAGUCGUACAGGUUCUGGAUCCGCCCCAUACCUAAUAACUCCCGGUGUAUAAUUUCGUAUAAAUUGACUUUCGAUGUUUAAUUCAAGUAGUAUGUACUAUUUGGAACUAUAAAUGAUGUUAUAUUUACAAAACAGUAGCGACAUGAAUGAAAUGAUUCCACUUGUAUUCUGGUGAAUGAAUAGCGGGUUAUCUUAUUUAGUGUUUGCUCAUAAAACUUGCUUUAUAUUUGUAUUUAUAUUACAUUUUAUUUUUCGUAAAUCAUCAGAUAGAAAAAUUUUAUAUUUAUAUAAGGUCAGUUUUUUUUAUUCUGAACCAUUAUCCUGGUUUUAAAAUUUUUUAUGGUUAACAGUUUUUUUAUGGGUCGGUCUUAACCAUGCGGUUGAAUGGUUAAAGAACAUUUCAACCGUGAUAAAAAGCAUGGUUUAUAGCUUAAACAUUUUUCUUCAACCUUUGCGUUUUUUUCUCCCUUUUAACAUGUUUAUGGUUUAAGCUUAAACAUGUUUCAUGUUGUUUUUAACCAGUAACUAGUUUGAGUAUAAAACAACAGGCCUCAAAUGAACCCCUUUGCAAACUCGUAGUCAACUAACUCGUAUCGUAUCCAAUUAUUACCAAUAUGUACCUUUACCAACUGGUACCAAAAUUUCAUAAGCAUUUUUGAAAUGGUCGUAUAUCAUCUUACAGAAAAAUAAAAAGAUAGAAUUUCAUAUACAAGUAAUUUGAAGCAAUAUCAAUUUGUUUGGAAUGCUGUAAUACUUAGUCUUGAUGGAAGUUGAGGCAGUUGAGUUUAUUUAUACUUCUGCAAUCAUCAUCUUCACCAAAAUAAAAAAAAUAUGGCUUUACUGCUGACAAAAAGCUUUGUAUGGUAGUCGACCAUGGUUUAUCGAUGUUGCGAUGUUGCACAUUAUGCAGGAAAACUGUCACGUCUCGUUAAGAUGUUAUACAGUGCAACACAUGUGACAACAUGAAACAUCAUCCUUGUCAGGAAAAAGGCAAUAAUAUUUCUUUAAUUUUCACUUUUUUAACAUAGAUAUUAAGGCCAUUAUGUGAUUGAUUGGUUUGAAACUUUUGAAAUUUAUUAAAACAUUUGUGUUUAAUAAAAUCAUUGGCUCUGAAAAUGUAGUAUUUAUUGCAGUACGUUUUUGUUUCUUAUUUAUAUACAAACAGUAGGGAAAAUACAAACCGUGUAAGGUAUAAUUCUUCAUGUUAUGCAGGUUUUUUUUGUGUUUAAUAUAUGUGAUCAUGUCUACUUUUUAUUUGUCCUUUGUGCAUAUAUCAUCCCAUCACUCCCCUCCAACUUCGUUGAAAUACCGCAUUGUUUUAUAAUUUAAGAUCAGAUAAAAAAAGUCACAUAGAUAAUGCAUACGAAUAAUAUCUAAAAAUUGGAAACUAGUUGGACAAGGUACGAGUUGGUGAAGAUAAGAUAAUAGGAACGAUUUUUUGUCGUACAUCCCACAUUUGGAUGUAAAAGAAACUAAAUACUUACAAAUAAAAAUCUAUAGGUCAUAUAUAAUCUAGAUUUUAUUAAUGUUAAAGAAUCUCAUUUAUAGAGGAGCUUAGUCAUUAUUAUUCCAAAAUGCAUCAUAAUAUUAAAACUUAGUAUUAUAGGUUUUUAGGUAUAACAUUCUAUCAACAUUUCAGAAACUAUAUAUAUAAGGUUUGAUAUAUUACAGCAGUCGAGCAGUAAAUGGUGGGGCAUUGCUAUAAAGAAAUUUGGUUUAUAAAUUAAUUCACUGUAAGGAUGUAAAGUUAUUAAAACACAGGAUUUUGUUUUCAGAUUUGCGAAUUUGAGUAAUAUAACAUACUUCUAACAACGUUUCGUUUAUUUUUAUUCGGUUAUAAUUUAUGUACAUAUUUAAUGUUGAAUAAUAAAAUAGUUUUAUAGUA
Molecule: long non-coding RNA, 3136 nt
Organism: Mytilus californianus (California mussel)
Lineage: Eukaryota; Metazoa; Mollusca; Bivalvia; Mytilida; Mytilidae
Exons: 5
Source: RefSeq, a predicted model, not a curated record